UCCAUCUGGUAUUUCAUGACUGGUCAGUUGUUUCCAGGGCCAAUGUCCUUACUAAUCAGUUAUGUUUCAUUUUUAGUUUCACUUUUUCACUCCAUAAUUUAUUAAUGUUCAACUAUUUUAGGUUUGUUUCAUACCCUUUUAAAAGAAGCUCUGAUUGAAGUAGUAUGGCACUUCAGCCAUCAUCCGUCGCAUCUACAUAGACAACUCGUGCUCUAUAACUGCCACUGUUGCUGUCGGGAGAAUGAGAAAAGUGACAGAUAAAAACUUGGAAUACUCAGCUAAAAUUAUCUUGAUGUUUUAUUUUAUUAAAAUAAAACAACUCAUUCCUGUCACAAUUUUUAUCCCAACUAUGCAUUUACAUUUUGUUCUUCAGGACUGAGGUUUCCUUACCUAUGUACUGAACUUGAUAACGUACACCGAAAAAAAAUGUAAGAAUAAACUGAAAAAAAAAAAAGAAGAAGAAAGACAACUUGGAAGACAUGCAGAGAAAUAAAGAGAUAGAUCGUCAUACUAAUAUAUACACGAGAGCAAGGGAGAGUGUACCACCAUGUUGAUCCAUAUGGGUGAAAUGUCACACCUGAGCAUUUAGUCAGCGGAACCACAGAACGAGAGAAAAUUAAAUCAUCCCACGUGCACGUGCUCUGUGAGAAGAUUAAAAGAAGGCUCUUGUACUCUCUUUCCUGUUGGCAGUAGAUUAAAAAACUUAAAGGCC
This is a long non-coding RNA of Mastomys coucha (southern multimammate mouse), 712 nucleotides long. RefSeq lists it as uncharacterized. The record is from RefSeq and is a predicted model, not a curated record. Lineage: Eukaryota; Metazoa; Chordata; Mammalia; Rodentia; Muridae. The transcript has 3 exons.